RNAcentral lists this non-coding RNA (19 nucleotides) under Mus musculus (house mouse). Lineage: Eukaryota; Metazoa; Chordata; Mammalia; Rodentia; Muridae. The record is from RNAcentral.
CACUCUGACAGCUACGAGA